UCAGACCCGAGGGUGACUGUGAGGAAGGACGAUGUUCAGCAGCUGAACCCUCCGAUGUUCGACCAAGGCCGGCGUCCUGGAAAACCACGUCAACAUGAGACCUACUCGGGCCUCUUCUGUGUGACGAUCAACCCAUACAAAUGACUGCCCAUCUAUGGCUCUAAAGUGGCCCAGAUACAAGGGGAAGUAACGCAACGAAGUUCCUCCUCACCUCCUUCUCCGCCCACCACGACAUGCUGAUGGUGCAAGAAAAC
Molecule: long non-coding RNA, 254 nt
Organism: Pseudoliparis swirei
Lineage: Eukaryota; Metazoa; Chordata; Actinopteri; Perciformes; Liparidae
Exons: 3
Source: RefSeq, a predicted model, not a curated record